RNAcentral lists this ribosomal RNA (494 nucleotides) under uncultured Sphingobacteriales bacterium. RNAcentral's name for it is "bacterial SSU rRNA". It matches the Rfam family "Bacterial small subunit ribosomal RNA", at positions 904 to 1382 of the family's 1533-position model. The record is from RNAcentral. Lineage: Bacteria; Pseudomonadati; Bacteroidota; Sphingobacteriia; Sphingobacteriales.
UUGCCAGCCCGCUCAGAAACUUAAGGAAUUGACGGGGCCCGCACAAGCGGUGGAGCAUGUGGUUAAUUCGAUGAUACGCGAGGAACCUUACCUGGGCUCAAAUGUAUGUUGACGUAUUCUGAAAGGGAUACUUCUUCGGACAAUAUACAAGGUGCUGCAUGGUUGUCGUCAGCUCGUGCCGUGAGGUGUCGGGUUAAGUCCCAUAACGAGCGCAACCCCUAUCAUUAGUUGCCAUCAGGUCAAGCUGGGGACUCUAAUGAAACUGCCUACGCAAGUAGUGAGGAAGGUGGGGAUGACGUCAAAUCAGCACGGCCCUUACGUCCAGGGCUACACACGUGCUACAAUGGCCGGUACAAGGGCAGCUACCUGGUGACAGGAUGCUAAUCUCAAAAGCCGGUCUCAGUUCGGAUCGGAGUCUGCAACUCGACUCCAUGAAGUUGGAAUCGCUAGUAAUCGUGGAUCAGCAUGCCACGGUGAAUACGUUCCCGGGCCUU